GCCACUUUAGCUUAGUGGUAGAGCGUCUUCUCCGUAAGCUGAAGGCCGUCAGUUCAAACCUGGUAAGUGGUU
This 72-nucleotide transfer RNA is filed under the name Perkinsus olseni. Its description in RNAcentral is "tRNA-Thr". It matches the Rfam family "tRNA". Rfam says of the family: Transfer RNA (tRNA) molecules are approximately 80 nucleotides in length. Their secondary structure includes four short double-helical elements and three loops (D, anti-codon, and T loops). Lineage: Eukaryota; Perkinsozoa; Perkinsida; Perkinsidae. The record is from RNAcentral.